Molecule: unclassified non-coding RNA, 211 nt
Filed under: plant metagenome
Description: partial contains small subunit ribosomal RNA, internal transcribed spacer 1, and 5.8S ribosomal RNA
Source: RNAcentral
AUUCCGUAGGUGAACCUGCGGAAGGAUCAUUCAUAAUAAAGUGUUUUAUGGCACUUUUUAAAAAUCCAUAUCCACCUUGUGUGCGAUGUUAGAUCUCGUCAAUCUUGGCGAGAUUUUUAUACAUCAACUCAUUUUUUAACUAAUUUGUCUGAAAAAUAUUAUGAAUACUUAAUUCAAAAUACAACUUUCAACAACGGAUCUCUUGGCUCUC